UAAUAGCUUUUGGGUGUGGUUC
Molecule: non-coding RNA, 22 nt
Filed under: Arabidopsis thaliana (thale cress)
Lineage: Eukaryota; Viridiplantae; Streptophyta; Magnoliopsida; Brassicales; Brassicaceae
Source: RNAcentral